CAUAGGUCACGAGAUAUAUGGGAUGGCAAAGACAAUAUGGUUCUGAAUACGAGGAGGUGUGAUAGAAAGUUUUGGGACCUCGUAAAGAAACAUCCCAUCAAGCCACGAGUUUUAGAAGUGAUUAGACUAUCUGGAUUGUACGGUGUUUAUAGAUCUCAGCGGCCUAUUGUUGACCGUAGUUUGAUUACUUCAUUGGUGGAGAGAUGGCGUCCCGAAACUCAUACGUUCCACUUUAGGACGGGUGAGGCGAUGAUCACCUUCCAGGAUGUAGAGGUGUUGUAUGGUUUACCCGUGAAUGGUAAUCCAAUACUUGGGAUUGAGCAGACAAGGGACAAAGCGCAUUGGCAUAGUAUUUGUGCAAGAUUAUUAGGUUUUACUGCAGUUCUUGGACAUAGUUGCCUCAAGGUAUCUGCGAUUAAUACACAUAUGCAACGUCAGCUAAAGUUGCCGGACAUGGAAACAUAGGAUAUAGUCAAUCAGAUAGCUAGAUGUUGUAUGUUUUGGUUGAUUGCUGGUAUGUUGAUGGCAGAUACAUUCGGUAGUUGCUUAAAGCUUAUGUACUUGCCUAUGCUCGAGGACGUUAAUGUGAUUGGGUCUUACAAUUGGGCUAGUGCGACCCUUGCAUGCUUGUAUCAAUGUCUUUGUAAAGCCUCACAGGGUAACCAACAUGAGAUAGUAGGAUUCCUACCACUACUAUAGAUUUGGGCAUGGGAGAGAGUUACUGUCCUCAGGCCCCAGAUAGUAGCACCAACGGAUACGCAAAAUAGUUUUCCUGCUGGUUUACCUGGGGGUCCAUAUGCUACUAGAUGGUUUGCACGUUUUAGUUGGACCGACACUACCAAGCAUGUGUUGAAAGUUUUUAGGGACGCUCUUGAUUCUUUGACGGAGGAUGACUUUAUCUGGGAACCAUAUUUUGAUGAAUUAAUUGAGAGCCUUCCCGAUUAUUGUCGUGUUGGACGAGACAUAUGGCGUGCUAGAGUCACAAUCUUUUGUUGGGAUGUGGUCGAGGUUCACUUGCCUGAUCGAGUUAUGAGGCAAUUUGGGUUGAUACAGGAGAUACCAGCUCCAUUUCCAUUUGAUUCCACACAUUUUCACCACGAUCGUCGGGGAAGGCCGAAUACAAAUUGGGAGUUGGAGCAUGCACAAUGGUUGCCUUUUUGGAACGAACGGCGUCAAUGUGUUUUUAAUGCACCAGUGAAUCAUGAACCACUUCGGUACGAUGACCCCUGCCUUAUUUGGUUCUGACACAUUACUCGACUUGUUAUUGGUAAUCCUAAUCCACGUCCUCAGCGACAAGAAGGUUAUGUUCCUAAUUCAAUGGCAUAUGAAGCAAUGGUAAGUGGUGCAUAUUUAUUUUG
Lycium ferocissimum is the source of this 1358-nucleotide long non-coding RNA. RefSeq lists it as uncharacterized. The record is from RefSeq and is a predicted model, not a curated record. The transcript has 3 exons. Lineage: Eukaryota; Viridiplantae; Streptophyta; Magnoliopsida; Solanales; Solanaceae.